This 84-nucleotide transfer RNA is filed under the name Patescibacteria group bacterium. Its description in RNAcentral is "tRNA-Leu". It matches the Rfam family "tRNA". Rfam says of the family: Transfer RNA (tRNA) molecules are approximately 80 nucleotides in length. Their secondary structure includes four short double-helical elements and three loops (D, anti-codon, and T loops). The record is from RNAcentral.
GCUUGAGUGGCGGAAUUGGUAGACGCAGCGGACUUAAAAUCCGCCGGUAGUGAUACUGUACCGGUUCGAUUCCGGUCUCAAGCA